This 1520-nucleotide long non-coding RNA is filed under the name Vulpes vulpes (red fox). Its description in RNAcentral is "lncRNA (ENSVVUG00000018367.1)". The record is from RNAcentral. Lineage: Eukaryota; Metazoa; Chordata; Mammalia; Carnivora; Canidae.
AUUGGAUCCAUAGGGCAAGUGCAUAAAGAUUUAAAAAAAAAAAAAAGUGGGAAGAGACAGUGACACCAGGAGAGGUCCAAGGACAAAACCUUGGGGAAACGUGACACGUAGAAGUUAGGCAGAGAAAUAAAUCAGAAAGGGAAAGUGAAUAGUGACCAGAGGGAAAGGAGACCUGGAGAGAGCUGGUGGGGGGGGGGGNUCCCAGAGAUGUCAGGAAACAAUGUUUAGGAAGCAGGAGGGGAGUGCUCAAUUGUGUCAGAGUCUAAGACGAUUUCUAUCAUACCCACCAAGAGUUUCAUAGUGAAGUGAACCUGACUUUGCCUCCGAGCUUUGGGUAGGAGUAGCAACUGACACAACCUCUCCAAGAUUCCGAUCCAACUUCCUUUAAUUGGAGAAGAGCACUUAUCUCUUUCUCACAGGGCUAAAAUGCUUCACCUGGUGCUGACUGCAGAAAGCCCUCACCAAUGAUACCACCACCACUAUCAGGGAAAAUGAGAGAUGUGAUACACAAUUGUUCAAAAUACAGAGAUGCCUACUCUGAAAAAAUAAAGUCAUAAGAUUCUGCAGCAUUUAAUACUUUAAAGACAGAAGAUUGUGUGACUUCAAAAACAGUGAAAUUAUAGAUACCUGGAAAUGAGCAGCCUUUGUGUUGGAAGACAGGUAACUGGAAAUCAGAAGCUUUACGUACGGCUGGGUGAGGGACUUUAAAAUGAACAAAAACGAUGUUCAAACAAAGGGAUCUUGAGGACGCCUGUAUAAACAACAUCUUUACUUUAUGGAGAGGCCGAAUGUCUUAUGCAGAUCCCAUGUUCCCAACAUGCUGGUUACCCAUGUACAUGAUGAGGUUAACAGCCAGAGGAAGGGGAAUUGCCAGUGGGCAGUGUUAGGACACCCGUUAAAGAGAGGAGAAGGGGCUACUACUCCCGUGACUUCAUUUCAUCACCAGAUUUCUCAGAAGAGUAAUUUCCAGUCACUUCUUGUCCUUGGAUCCAGUGUUCAGCCUAAAGAUCUUUUACCUUCCACUAAGUUCACUGUGCAUGGGAUCCGAAAGGUGUGUAGGAUUAAGAAAAAGGCUUUCAGUUGCUUCACCACAAAAUAAUACAUUUCAAGAAGAAAUAAGCUCUGCUCCCAGUCAUGGAACGUUCCUGUUCUGAACUAGGCAUACCUCACCCCAUAUUUUGUACAAAUGUUCCACUGAAGUCUCAGGAAGGCUCUCAUAGCCCCAGUGGGCGCCAGAUUAAUGAAAAGAAAUGUAUUCAAAUUUCUCUCCUUUUCUUUUUCAUUGUGAAACAUUUCAAGCAUACAGAAAAUAUAUCAACAAAUGAAAGAAGUACCCAAAUGCUUACAAUCCAGCUGUAUCCAAUCUUAAUGUUGUCCCAUAUUUUUUUUUUCAAGGAAAUAACAUGUUGGAUAUAGAUGAAGCCCUCUGUGUGUGUUUACCAGAUCCCAUUCCCCUUGCUUCACCUCCAACAAUCUGGUUCCUGAAUUUGGUGACUAUUUUAGUUUCUAUGUUUCAUGUG